GCACCAGAUUCAUUUACAAUUAGGACACAGUUAGGACAAAAAAAGUAAAAACGAUACAGUUAUUCCCAGUCAGAGAACCAAAGAGAGGAAAUUGGCAGACAUCUUUUGUUUUACAUGCCUUCAUAAACUAUAAUUUAUUCUCUCCCCAUUUAGCCUUUUAUCAUUAGGAGUUUAAUUUUUAUAAAAUAUAACUAUUCAUCUAUGUCCUUCUAGACAGUAUAACUAGACCCUCCAUCUAGUUUAAUAAGCUAUACAGAAUCUGAGAAUAUAAAGUUAAGAAGAUUUUAAUCCUGAAACUCUAGAGCUUUAUAUGUGUGGGAUCUCAAACUAGGAGAUUUGACUCCCUCCACCAAGGUCAAAGUGAAUUAGGGACUGCAUGAAAAACCCAGCAUUUUUGUCUCACAGGACUCGGACGAUCCAUAAGAUCAGGUCACUCUUCCCUAUCUCAGUGAAGAUUUAAAUGUUUAGAGACAUAUGACCCAGUUCUCUGUCUUCAAGCUUAGAAAAAAUGUACCGUUUGACAUUUAGCAAAGACAAAAAAAAAAAAAGGAAAAAAACCAUAUGAAAUCAACAUCUAUUAUGUUUCAACAAAAUAUCAAAACAUAUAUAAUUGCUUUUUCCAAAAAACUGACCCAUCCUAAGGAAAGAUUUAGGUGCAGAGAUUUAAGAAUUGUGCUUCUUAUGAAAAAAGGGUGUGCUUGCUCUGUCUAGAGCACCAAACUCUCUCAUCACACCACUUGGUUUAUGGUCUUAAUCACCAGACAGAUGAAAGCGACCUGCAAGUUUGGGAACCCACAGCCCAAGUGCUAGGAAGAAUCUGUUCUGUGUGAACAGCCACAGCGCAAUUGUGGAGAUACAUGGCACAAGUACACAAAAUAAACAGUAACGUAUUUUCUUUUCUUUUUGGUAGAAAUUCCUAAUGGAAAAUUCCUGAUAUAGACUUUAUUAGGAGGAAACGCGAGUCCAUAACUGUAAAUGGUGCAAAGCCCACUUUUUCCACCUUAUUAGCAAGUGCAUAAGCAUAAGAAUCUAUGUUUUCCAAAAAUCAUAUUAAUAAUUUCCCCUGUCUUUCCUCCCAAAACUUAAAAAAAAAGACUGUCAGACUAUCAAAGCACUGUCAGUGCCAGUAAGACACAUCAUUAAGGUGAGUAAUUUUCCUGUUUACUUCAAACACUUUUUUUCCCAAACUCCAACCUGGGCAGGUCUGAUCAGGUUAGGCUUUGGAACGAGUAAAAGCAUCCCCAAUUUCUACAUAAGCGCUGCAGGCCAUGGGCAAAGACAAGUCUCAACUGAGCUCUCCACGGUAGUCAAGCUUCCCGGCGCCUCUGGUCUUGUCUCCCUCAUACCUAACAAGUAUCGUCAUGUCUCUCAACCUUCAAAAUCGGUUUAUCUGCAACACAAAUGCACAUACGCUCACAUACAUCCUACUUCUUUUACUUUUACUUAUAAUUAAUAUCUACAUACAUUCUGAACACAUUUGCUUUAUAACAAUUCUUUCCUAUGCACUUUUCAAAAGAAAAUAUUUUCCAUUCUGAAUUCAGGCAUUCUUCAUGUAAAGACAAAUGGCAGAAUGCAAAAUAAUAAUCGUUUUUAACUGCAAAAUGCUGCUCUAAUUUUUAAAUUCAGUGGAGUAGAGAUCUGGCUUUUCUAUUUUUUCCUGGAAAUAGAUACCGCUGUCUUAAUUAAAUGUUUUCAAGAUCUACCUUUAUGCAAAUAUAUCUACUAUGUAAUUUGUGUUUUCUUUAAAAAAAAAAAAAAGAGAGAGAGAAAAUUGCUACCCUUGACAUAAGAUUCCUCUUUCAGUGUGAUCUGCUUCUAAGAAGACAGGAAGCUGGAAUUAAGAGUUUAGUAUUGGAUCUAUUUUGUCAACGUGGACAGAUUGCACUGACUCAUAAAACUGGAGACAUUAGCUCAUGGCAAUGAUUCAGUCGUGAGAAUUCUGACAAGGGCCUCUCCCUCCCUGGUGCUUUAAGAGGAAAAUCGUCCUGAGGACUGGUGGACGAGGAGCCGUUCUGAAUCUGCUGGUCCAUGCUGUUCAGGAGCCCCAGGUUCGUGUACUGUGGCUGCAAGGACACCCAGAAACCCCAAUAUUAGCCGCUGAAGCCACGGAUCAUUGCUCCAAAAAAAGGCAUCCAUGGGUGAAUGCAUUCUACAGAGAUGGACCUCACGUCGGAAGCACUUCACAUUCAAAGUAAAACCGUUGAUUUUUGGUAAACAGAGAAAACAAGAGAAGUCUGAGCAUGUGUGUGUUUGUAACGGCUUUUCCAGAUCACUCAGCUCUAUGUGCCACCUCUGGAGACUGACUUCCUACAGAGCAUUUGAAAGUAGAGUAUAUGCUUAUUCACAAACUAGGCAAAACGUUCCCAGUGCUCAGUAGCUGCUUAGGAAGUCUUUAAAUAAAUACUGCCUGCUAUUCCAUUUUGAGGUUGUUGGUGGGGGUUGGGGCGUGUUACACAAAAUGAGAAAGACCACUUGAUAGGUAUGUUCCAGAGGGGAUUUAAGUGUUAAAUUGUUGCAUAGGGGGCAAAAUCAAAUGACCUUCGAAUUUUCUCUUAAUCUUGCAAUUCUGCAUUCUGUCCCAGAGUACCAAGAGUGUACCACCCAGCCCCCUAAGGACUGGUUUCACAAAGACUGGAGGAUC
Molecule: long non-coding RNA, 2641 nt
Filed under: Homo sapiens (human)
Lineage: Eukaryota; Metazoa; Chordata; Mammalia; Primates; Hominidae
Description: HSALNT0066182
Source: RNAcentral